UAAGCAUAUAAGUAAGUGGAGGAAGUCAAACAAAAAUGGGUUCCUCCAGUAACAGCGAGUGAAGAUGGAAUAGGUCAACUUGGAAUUCGGGGGGGGCCCCUCUGAAAUGCAUGUUUGAAUGUGUUGCCAAUGGAGGCGCAAAUGUGAGCCAUUUCUGGGAAAAACCGAAUUAACCAGCUUCAAUAAGGGUGAAAAUCCCAGUGGGCACUUGCGGACCUCUGUUUACGGUGUAAAUUUACAGAAUCACGCUCCUUGGAACUGGAGUGCAAAGCGGGUGGUAAAUCUCAUGCAAAGGUGAAUACAUCUAUGGGACUGAUAGAGGAAAAGUACCGCGAGGGAACUAUGAAAAGGACUUUGAAAAGAGAAUUAAAAAGAGCCUGCGCUUGCUGUAUGAAAAGCAUACAGAAUAGCAAAAGAUUUCGAAAGAUUGCUGCAUGGUCUUUUGAAUGACCCAUGCCCUUUUGAAGAUGGAGCUGCUGUGGUCUGCAUGUGUGUUGUGUGUGGAGGUUCUUUUUUUACGUGCCAGUUCCAGUUGCCAGAGAUAAAUUCUGGACGUAUUGUGAUGUGUGCCCCGAGGUUUGUCAUUGUGCGUACGUGAUGAUGUGUAGAUUGUUGAGGAGCUGGAUCCUGGUGGAGUUGUUGAAGGCUGCCCAUGCCCCUUUUGCUGGAAGACUUUGCAGAAAUCCUGGUCCAACCCUCUGACUAGCCACUUCUGUGUGACCCGUCUUGAAAC
This 733-nucleotide ribosomal RNA is filed under the name Fukuyoa paulensis. RNAcentral's name for it is "eukaryotic LSU rRNA". It matches the Rfam family "Eukaryotic large subunit ribosomal RNA", at positions 35 to 660 of the family's 3401-position model. The record is from RNAcentral. Lineage: Eukaryota; Dinophyceae; Gonyaulacales; Pyrocystaceae.